GCAAGUUCAUAAGAGCAAACGGUGAAUGCCUUGGCAUCUGGAGCCGAAGAAGGACGUCGUAAUCUGCGAUAAGCCUCGGGGAGCUGAUAAACGAGCUGUGAUCCGAGGAUUUCCGAAUGGGGAAACCCCGCCAGGCCCCUUGUGGUGACCUGGUGACUCCCGCCUGAAUAUAUAGGGCGGGUAGAGGGAACGUGGGGAAGUGAAACAUCUCAGUACCCACAGGAAGAGAAAACAACAGUGAUUCCGUCAGUAGUGGCGAGCGAACGCGGAAGAGGCUAAACCGAGUCAUGUGUGAUACCCGGCAGGGGUUGCAUGGCCGGGGUUGUGGGACUUUUCGUUCCGGUCUGCCGGCCGGUGAACGUUACAGCGCAUCAUAGACGAACAGGUUUGAACGCCUGGCCAGAGCGGGUGCGAGCCCCGUAGUCGAAAUGGUGUUAUGGCGUGAAGAGUAUCCCAAGUAGCACGGGGCCCGAGAAAUCCCGUGUGAAUCUGUCAGGACCACCUGAUAAGCCUAAAUACUCCCAGAUGACCGAUAGCGGACAAGUACCGUGAGGGAAAGGUGAAAAGUACCCCGGGAGGGGAGUGAAAUAGUACCUGAAACCGUUUGCUUACAAACCGUCGGAGCCUCCUUGUAGGGGUGACGGCGUGCCUUUUGAAGAAUGAGCCUGCGAGUUAGUGCUCUGUGGCGAGGUUAACCCGUGUGGGGCAGCCGUAGCGAAAGCGAGUCCGAAUAGGGCGAUUCAGUCGCAGGGUCUAGACCCGAAGCGAAGUGAUCUAUCCAUGGCCAGGUUGAAGCGACGGUAAGACGUCGUGGAGGACCGAACCCACUUCAGUUGAAAAUGGAGGGGAUGAGCUGUGGAUAGGGGUGAAAGGCCAAUCAAACUUCGUGAUAGCUGGUUCUCUCCGAAAUGCAUUUAGGUGCAGCGUUGCGUGUUUCUUGCCGGAGGUAGAGCUACUGGAUGGCCGAUGGGGCCCAAAAGCUUACUGACGUCAGCCAAACUCCGAAUGCCGGUAAGUGAGAGCGCAGCAGUGAGACUGUGGGGGAUAAGCUUCAUAGUCGAGAGGGAAACAACCCAGACCACCAACUAAGGUCCCUAAGCGCGUGCUAAGUGGGAAAGGAUGUGGAGUUGCACAGACAACCAGGAGGUUGGCUUAGAAGCAGCCACCCUUGAAAGAGUGCGUAAUAGCUCACUGGUCAAGUGAUUCCGCGCCGACAAUGUAACGGGGCUCAAGCACGCCACCGAAGUUGUGGCAUUGACAUUAGUGGUAGGCCUUCGUGGUCCAGCCGUGUUGAUGGGUAGGAGAGCGUCGUGUGGCGAGUGAAGCGGCGGUGUGAACCAGCCGUGGAUGCCACACGAGUGAGAAUGCAGGCAUGAGUAGCGAAAGACGGGUGAGAAACCCGUCCUCCGGAAGACCAAGGGUUCCAGGGUCAAGCUAAUCUUCCCUGGGUAAGUCGGGACCUAAGGCGAGGCCGACAGGCGUAGUCGAUGGACAACGGGUUGAUAUUCCCGUACCGGCGAAGAACCGCCCAAGACAAUCCAGUAGUGCUAAGUAUCUGAAUCCCUUUGAUGGAUCCCUUCGGGGUGAAGCUNNNNNNNNNNNNNNNNNNNNNNNNNNNNNNNNNNNNNNNNNNNNNNNNNNNNNNNNNNNNNNNNNNNNNNNNNNNNNNNNNNNNNNNNNNNNNNNNNAUAGCCUGAGAUCUGAUGGGUAGACGCAAGUCGAAAUCGGUGAUCCUAUGCUGCCAAGAAAAGCAUCGACGCGAGGUUCUAGCUGCCCGUACCCCAAACCGACUCAGGUGGUCAGGUAGAGAAUACUAAGGAGAUCGAGAGAAUCGUGGUUAAGGAACUCGGCAAAAUGCCCCCGUAACUUCGGGAGAAGGGGGGCCUGAGGCGUGAACGGACUUGCUCCGGGAGCGUUCGAUGGCCGCAGAGACCAGUGGGAAGCGACUGUUUACUAAAAACACAGGUCCGUGCUAAGUCGCAAGACGAUGUAUACGGACUGACGCCUGCCCGGUGCUGGAAGGUUAAGAGGAACGGUUAGCCGCAAGGCGAAGCUGAGAAUUUAAGCCCCAGUAAACGGCGGUGGUAACUAUAACCAUCCUAAGGUAGCGAAAUUCCUUGUCGGGUAAGUUCCGACCUGCACGAAUGGCGUAACGACUUCCCAGCUGUCUCAACCGCGAACUCGGCGAAAUUGCAUUACGAGUAAAGAUGCUCGUUACGCGCAGCAGGACGGAAAGACCCCGUGACCUUUACUAUAGUUUGGUAUUGGUGUUCGGUGUGGCUUGUGUAGGAUAGGUGGGAGACGUUGAAGCGGGCACGCUAGUGUUCGUGGAGUCAUUGUUGAAAUACCACUCUGGUCACUCUGGAUAUCUAACUUCGGACCCUAAUCGGGUUCAGGGACAGUGCCUGAUGGGUAGUUUAACUGGGGCGGUUGCCUCCCAAAGAGUAACGGAGGCGCCCAAAGGUUCCCUCAACCUGGUUGGCAAUCAGGUGGCGAGUGUAAGUGCACAAGGGAGCUUGACUGUGAGACUGACAAGUCGAGCAGGGACGAAAGUCGGGACUAGUGAUCCGGCAGUGGCUUGUGGAAGCGCUGUCGCUCAACGGAUAAAAGGUACCUCGGGGAUAACAGGCUGAUCUUGCCCAAGAGUCCAUAUCGACGGCAUGGUUUGGCACCUCGAUGUCGGCUCGUCGCAUCCUGGGGCUGGAGUAGGUCCCAAGGGUUGGGCUGUUCGCCCAUUAAAGCGGUACGCGAGCUGGGUUUAGAACGUCGUGAGACAGUUCGGUCCCUAUCCGCUGCGCGCGCAGGAAAUUUGAGAAGAUCUAUCCCUAGUACGAGAGGACCGGGAUGGACGAACCUCUGGUGUGUCAGUUGUUCCGCCAGGAGCACCGCUGAUUAGCUACGUUCGGAACGGAUAACCGCUGAAAGCAUCUAAGCGGGAAGCCGGCUUCGAGAUGAGAUUUCCAUCCCUUCGGGGGAGAGGCUCCCAGCCAGACGACUGGGUUGAUAGGCCGGAUGUGGAAGACAGGACUAAAGACUGUCGGAGCUGACCGGUACUAAUAAGCCGAUAACUUGAUAA
This 3076-nucleotide ribosomal RNA is filed under the name Rathayibacter sp. AY1H2. RNAcentral describes it as "23S ribosomal RNA". It matches the Rfam family "Bacterial large subunit ribosomal RNA". Lineage: Bacteria; Bacillati; Actinomycetota; Actinomycetes; Micrococcales; Microbacteriaceae. The record is from RNAcentral.